UCUUUUCUAGCUUAAGUUAAAAGCGUUAGUUUGAAGAGCUAAAGUUACUUGUUUUUUGUGGAAAGAG
This 67-nucleotide transfer RNA is filed under the name Echinoparyphium aconiatum. RNAcentral's name for it is "tRNA-Phe". It matches the Rfam family "tRNA". From Rfam's summary of the family: Transfer RNA (tRNA) molecules are approximately 80 nucleotides in length. Their secondary structure includes four short double-helical elements and three loops (D, anti-codon, and T loops). Further hydrogen bonds mediate the characteristic L-shaped molecular structure. tRNAs have two regions of fundamental functional importance: the anti-codon, which is responsible for specific mRNA codon recognition, and the 3' end, to which the tRNAs corresponding amino acid is attached (by aminoacyl-tRNA synthetases). tRNAs cope with the degeneracy of the genetic code in two manners: having more than one tRNA (with a specific anti-codon) for a particular amino acid; and 'wobble' base-pairing, i.e. permitting non-standard base-pairing at the 3rd anti-codon position. The record is from RNAcentral. Lineage: Eukaryota; Metazoa; Platyhelminthes; Trematoda; Plagiorchiida; Echinostomatidae.